This 57-nucleotide transfer RNA is filed under the name Capra hircus (goat). It matches the Rfam family "tRNA", at positions 8 to 63 of the family's 71-position model. From Rfam's summary of the family: Transfer RNA (tRNA) molecules are approximately 80 nucleotides in length. Their secondary structure includes four short double-helical elements and three loops (D, anti-codon, and T loops). Lineage: Eukaryota; Metazoa; Chordata; Mammalia; Artiodactyla; Bovidae. RNAcentral also lists the same sequence under 1 other name. The record is from Rfam by way of RNAcentral.
UGGCUCAGAUGGUAAAGCAUCUGUCUACAAGGCAGGAGACCCAGGUUCAAUCCCUGG